UGAGUGGCGAACGGGUGAGUAACACGUGGACAACCUGCCUCAAGGCUGGGGAUAACAUUUGGAAACAGAUGCUAAUACCGAAUGAAACUUAGUGUCGCAUGAUACGAAGUUAAAAGGCGCUUUGGCGUCACCUAGAGAUGGAUCCGCGGUGCAUUAGUUAGUUGGUGGGGUAAAGGCCUACCAAGACAAUGAUGCAUAGCCGAGUUGAGAGACUGAUCGGCCACAUUGGGACUGAGACACGGCCCAA
This 247-nucleotide ribosomal RNA is filed under the name uncultured bacterium. Its description in RNAcentral is "partial 16S ribosomal RNA". It matches the Rfam family "Bacterial small subunit ribosomal RNA", at positions 92 to 334 of the family's 1533-position model. The record is from RNAcentral.